This 4221-nucleotide long non-coding RNA is filed under the name Otus sunia (Oriental scops-owl). RNAcentral describes it as "lncRNA (ENSOSUG00000003598.1)". The record is from RNAcentral. Lineage: Eukaryota; Metazoa; Chordata; Aves; Strigiformes; Strigidae.
AUUUCUUUCCAGAAGGGGUUGUUGGGCGUUGGAAUGGGCUGCCCAGGGAGGUGGUGGAGUCCCCAUCCCUGGAGGGGUUGAAGAGUCGGGUUGACAUAGAGCUGAGGGACCUGGUGUAGUUGGAAACUGCCAAUGCUGGGUUAAUGGUUGGACUGGAUGAUCUUCAAGGUCCUUUCCAACCUAGNAUAUGCAGGAGACCUCAGCUUCCUAAACAAAACCCUCUUUUUUAUUCCAGCCCCGUGACGCUCACUGCACGUGCCCUCCAGGUUACUGGAGGUCCGUAGGUGAUGGAAGACACUGUGUCAGACAAGCAUAUGAUAUUUGCCGAGAUCCAGCCUCCCGAAAUCAGGAGGGACAGUGUUUAACCAAGAAAGGAUGGGUUCAUUAUUGCUCGGAGAAGGUUUGUACUGUCCCCAGAGAUUAUCAAGGCUAUGACAAGGUUCUUGGCCUCUGCAUUUGUCAACCUGACAGUCUGGAGAGCGUGUGUAAUUCUCAAUGUAGAAGGCAACAAAGAGACACUCUGCAGGUCACCUGUACAGAGAAAAACGCCCAGCUCUUAUUCACUUACAGAAAUGGGAGCAAGACUGCUGUUUUCUUAGAAGAAUUAAGAACAGUUCUACUAAGACCAUAUUUCUCUUUAAAAGACGUCUGCACCUCAGAACAAAGCACACAUACCCAUCCAACAUACAUCGUGAAAAUGAGUGGGAAAGGAUUUUUAGGAGUGUACAAUCCUGACCCACAACUAUUUCACAACUUCAUGAUGCUAAAUGAGGCUUCCUCACAUCACAGAAACAGGCAUUCUUCAGGAACAACUCCAGUUAAGUCUGGCCAUGAAGAACACGGGGUACAAAGCCUGAGACCUUCAAACUCCACAUCGAAAAUCACAUUUACUGGCAUCUUAAAUCCUACCACGUGCAUUAAUGUUAAUGUUACUGUCAUGUUCAUUGUCUCCAAGGAGCACUACCCAGUUUAUGAUGUAAACAACCUGUACAAUACAAAUGCUGAGUUUGACUGGGGAGACUUUCGAAGCCUCAAAGAAGAAAUAAGAGAGGCCUCCCAAGAAUUCCUCUUCUUCCUUUUCCAGUUCCAGAACGCUGGUACCUACGUGCUACGGCUAAGUAGCAAUCAACACAAAAAAAUGUACAUUAGGGUGAUGCCACUUGGAGGACAGUGUUAUGAAGAGGGGCCAUUCUUCCCCACAACACCCAGAUAUGUUGUACAGGUGGGCAUCGCAAAAAAACAAGACCUCCUACUGAAACCUGACUGGACAGCCAUUAUUGGAGUAAUCACAGGACUUCUCAUAUUGCUUAUUGCCUCUGUGGCAUUGACACUUCUUUGUCGGGGACUUAGCUGGGUGCAGAAAGGCACUACCUGCCCUCCAUUUCGACGGCAGCAGUUGAAGUAUAAUCUGGACAGCUAUUCCUCCAACAUAUCAAGACUCUUUUCCAUUAAAAAAUGUCACCCCUCGCUGCAGAACAAAGCCUGCUUCCUGAAGAGGGGUGAUGUUUGGGAGCCUGAAGAACAGAUAGAUCUUGAGUCAUUUAAUACCAAUGUUUUCUUUGAACUUCUGCUGAGACAGUCACUAGCCGUCACAACCAAACUGGGUCAUUUCAAAGAAGAGGUAAAAACUACAUAUCACAAGCUUACAAGUGAAAUAUCUUCAUUGAAAAACCUUUGGAUAAAGACACUGAGUAUCCCAGAAGAGAUGGAGGCUUAUGAGAGCACAAUAACAGAGGCUUACCUAAAAGCAAAACAGCAGGCAGAAGAAGAAAUGCAGCAAAGGAAACAGUUGGCUGCUGAGUAUGAGGAAAGUGUGAACAAACAGCUGCACUUAUUACAGCAUGAUCUGAAAUGUCAGGAAGAGCAUUGUGUCAUGUUCAAUUCUGUCUUGCGAGAGGCGGUGAGAGUGGCAGAGAUGCUGACAAGUAAGGUGGCUUGUAAAGGAAACCAAACAAUGCUGCCCCAGCCAGACUGUACAAGCCUGUUAGCCCAGAUAGAUGCUGCAAGCAGCCAGAUGUCAAGCAUAAUCAUAAAGGAGAGCCAUCGCCUCAAAGCAUGGGGAGUGCUGGGUGAAGGAAUGGGAGCUCACCUUCUUAACAAAGAUCAAACCAGGAUACUUACCAAGCAGGAGCUAAUGGACUCAAACGGCACUUCCCGAGCACCCGACGUUGUCUGCACGGAUCCUGUCACCGGAUUGUUGACUCCCUACCCACGCUGCACCAUGCUGCUGACAAGUCAGUGCCCUGGGCCAGUACCCACCAAUUCUUUUUUGCAUCCUGAGACUGGAAAGGUGCUUCACAUAGCUGGUAACAUCGGGUAUGAUCCCAUCAGAUCCAGGCUGGUCUGUGCUGUUGAUUCUGCUUCAGGAGAAGUUAUACCUCUAGGCGGGCUGGUGGGUCCUUCUGGAAAUCUAAUGCUUCUUGGAGAUUCCUUCACCGAACCCCUGAGUGGGAAAAUUGCCCGGGUACAUGGAGCUCACCUCCGGCAAGACAAGGUGCUGCCCCACAGUGGAAGUUAUCAAGCAGUGUUGGAAGCUGACUGGCUGGUAUCACAGACCCAUGUGGUGAACACUCUAAAGCAGUUCAAGGCAUCUGUUUUGGAAGAUACCUGUCUAGUAGCAGACAGAUUAGCAGCACUAAAGGCUUCAGUAGAAGAUAUGAAGAAGUCUUUCACCACUAGGUUUUAUCAUGCAAUACAUUGCUUGCAAAGCCUGGAGAAAAAACGGGAAAUAGCUUCAAGCCUCAAGAGUAAUGGUGGUAAACUGGGUAUGAUCAAAUAUCCUGGCACAGAGAUGUGGAUCCCUGCAGUGUUUGGAAUGAAAAUCCCAGAUCCUGGUGGGUCCAGUUUGAUGGUGCCAAUUCUGGGAAUAGACUGUGACUGGAAUAGCAGGCAGCCUUCCCCACUCGCAGGAACCAUGGAAGAUAGACAUGGACAAGGCCUUGUCCCCAUCACAAUUGGUGCCAAAACCAUAAGUCCAAUUACAGGUGAAAUUGGGCCUGUUAUAGGUGCUCAGACCAACCCCUGGACACACAAUGUAAUUCCCACUGUUCAGUCUCUUGGAGCUUUACCCAGAAGAGCUACAGAUCCAGAUCUGCUGGACUUUCUAGAAAAGGAAAUAAAUUCAAGGCGUAUAUACUGGCAUAGCAGAAGAAAAAAGGAAGAAGGGCUUCUUAAAAAGCUGAAUUCUCUAUUUCUUCAUGUUCUUGAUGCUGCAAAAGAGGGGAAGGCACAGAAGAUAAAAUACAAGGAAAAAGUGAAAGACAUUGAGGAAAUGUGCCACUUUCUUAAAGGAUCCUCUCUGCAGGAAGCUGAGAGACGAACCUCAAAAUAUUUUAGUAGCCAACUGGCCACCGAACUCUCCUUGCUCUUCAAAGCCGACAGAGAUGAAAGAGAACAGGAAAUGCAGGUUCUGUUGGAGAUCAGAAAGGCGCUGGAGAAGCUGAUGGAGUUUGCUGAAAAGAUGCAACUAGAAGAAGAACGAAUAUAUAUGCAGCUAAUAGAGAGAGAAAAGCACAGGAGCCACAUCUCAAGCACCGAGACAGUGACAAACCUGGAGCUCAGAAAGGUCGUGCUUGCCCUAGCCUCCGAGUCUCAGGAACAUGUACUGAAACAACAAGCUAGUGUGGAGACUGCGUACAGCAAACUGGAAUAUUUGAGGGACCUGUCAAACAUCCAAACACAGCAGACAAAGGCAUUUUUCUCUGGGUCACAACAAUGUUUUGAAAACUAUCAGACAACCAGAUUUUAUGGCAUUAGUGGGAUCUCACGUAGUACAUGCAAGGUCAUCCAGCAAAACCUGAUCUCAUUACUCAAGUCUACGGUUCAGAUGCUGGAGGAAAAUAGCAAAAGCAGUGUAUCACCUGAGACAUCAGGCUACUCCUCAGGGAGCACUUUAAAAGCAUCUGCUGGUCAUUCAGAGACAUUAAGGGCUGAGGCAAGUCAAGAAACUGCUUCAGCUUCCAUAUUAUCACCUGCUCUGCCCACUUCAUAUUCAGAAAGGGCACUCCACGUACAACAAGAAAUCCAGACAAGGUUCUUCCUUGAGAAGCAUGCUUGUGAACUGGCACAUCUGGAACUGUCCUUAUUGAUGGAAGAAAUAAACACUAUCUUUUCCUUCUAUGAAUCAUCCAAGGCUAAGGAAAAGGAAUACCGUAAAGGAAAUUGGGUAAGGUUGGCAUUGCAUCAGCUUAGAGUUCUCAGCUGGUACCCAGGAAAAGAAAG